Molecule: ribosomal RNA, 607 nt
Filed under: Anopheles gambiae str. PEST
Lineage: Eukaryota; Metazoa; Arthropoda; Insecta; Diptera; Culicidae
Description: SSU rRNA
Rfam family: Eukaryotic small subunit ribosomal RNA
Source: RNAcentral
UGAUAUACGCUCGUCUCAAAGGUUAAGCCAUGCAUGUCUAAGUACAAGCUUCCUAGAAAGUGAAACCGCAUAAGGCUCAGUAUAACAGCUAUAAUUUACAAGAUCCUCAUCCAAACAGUUACUUGGCUAACUGUGGAAAAGCCAGAGCUAAUACAUGCAUUAUGCCGGGACUGUUGGCCUCCGGGUCGGCGGAACUGGUGCACUUAUUAGUUAAACCAAUCGCCUCCGGGCGCUGUGAGUUGAAAUCUGGAUAAGGAUGCCGAUCGUACGGUCGCUUGCGACUGACGACAGAUCUUUCAAAUGUCUGCCCUAUCAACUAUUGAUGGUAGUGUAGAGGACUACCAUGGUUGCGACGGGUAACGGGGAAUCAGGGUUCGAUUCCGGAGAGGGAGCCUGAGAAAUGGCUACCACAUCCAAGGAAGGCAGCAGGCGCGUAAAUUACCCAAUCCCGGCACGGGGAGGUAGCGACGAGAAAUAACAAUAUGGACCUCUCUAACGAUGGUCCAUAAUUGGAAUGAGUUGAGCAUAAAUCCUUUUGCAAGGAUCAAGUGGAGGGCAAGUCUGGUGCCAGCAGCCGCGGUAAUUCCAGCUCCACUAGCGUAUAUUA